RNAcentral lists this ribosomal RNA (497 nucleotides) under uncultured bacterium. RNAcentral's name for it is "partial 16S ribosomal RNA". It matches the Rfam family "Bacterial small subunit ribosomal RNA", at positions 28 to 507 of the family's 1533-position model. The record is from RNAcentral.
GAUGAACGCUGGCGGCGUGCCUAAUACAUGCAAGUCGAGCGAACGGACGAGAAGCUUGCUUUUCUGAUGUUAGCGGCGGACGGGUGAGUAACACGUGGAUAACCUACCUAUAAGACUGGGAUAACUUCGGGAAACCGGAUCUAAUACCGGAUAAUAUUUUGAACCGCAGUGUUCAAAAGUGAAAGACGGUCUUUCUGUCACUUAUAGAUGGAUCCGCGCUGCAUUAGCUAGUUGGUAAGGUAACGGCUUACCAAGGCAACGAUGCGUAGCCGACCUGAGAGGGUGGUCGGCGACACUGGAACUGAGACACGGUCAAGACUCCUAAGGGAGGGAGCAGUAGGGAAUCUUCCGCAAUGGGCGGAAGCCUGACGGAGCAACGCCGCGUGAGUGAUGAAGGUCUUCGGAUCGUAAAACUCUGUUAUUAGGGAAGAACAUAUGUGUAAGUAAAUGUGCACAUCUUGACGGUACCUAAUCAGAAAGCCACGGCUAACUACGUG